Molecule: RNA transcript, 1850 nt
Organism: Prionailurus viverrinus (fishing cat)
Lineage: Eukaryota; Metazoa; Chordata; Mammalia; Carnivora; Felidae
Gene: CHKA
Gene name: choline kinase alpha
Exons: 13
Source: RefSeq, a predicted model, not a curated record
CCCGCCCGGCGCGCCCCCAACCGCCGCUCCCGCCCCCGGCCGGCCGGUCAGCGAGCCGCCGAGCGGCCUCCGCGCCCGGCCUCCGUGAGGGGGGCGCCCGGCCGGACCCUGAGCCUCGCUCUCUCGCGCUGCGGCCGUCCGCGCCUCCUCGGCCGCCUGCCCGGCAUGAAGACCAAGUUCUGCAACGGGGGCGAGGCGGAGCCCUCGCCGCUCGGGCUGCUCCUGAGCUGCGGCGGCGGCGGCGGCGGCAGCGCGGCCCCGGCGCCCGGCGUGGGGCAGCAGCGCGACGCCGCCAGCGACCUCGAGCCCAAGCAGCUGGGCGGCCCGCAGCCGCCGCUCGCGCUGCCGCCGCCGCCGCCGCCGCCGCCGCUGCCGCUGCCGCCGCCGCCGCCGCCGCCGCCGCCGCCGGCCGACGAGCAGCCCGAGCCUCGGACGCGGCGCAGGGCCUAUCUGUGGUGCAAGGAGUUCCUGCCCGGCGCCUGGCGGGGCCUUCGCGAGGACCAGUUCCACAUCAGUGUCAUCAGAGGUGGCCUCAGUAACAUGCUGUUCCAGUGCUCCUUACCUGACACCGUGGCCACCAUUGGUGACGAGCCUCGGAAAGUGCUCCUGCGGCUGUACGGGGCGAUUUUAAAGAUGAGGUCCUGUAAUAAAGAGGGAUCCGAACAAGCUCAGAAAGAAAAUGAAUUUCAAGGGGCCGAGGCCAUGGUUCUGGAGAGCGUUAUGUUUGCCAUUCUCGCAGAGAGGUCGCUGGGACCCAAGCUCUACGGCAUCUUCCCCCAAGGCCGCCUGGAACAGUUUAUCCCGAGCCGGCGAUUAGACACAGAAGAAUUAAGUUUGCCAGAUGUUUCUGCAGAAAUAGCUGAGAAAAUGGCCACAUUUCAUGGUAUGAAAAUGCCAUUCAAUAAGGAACCAAAAUGGCUUUUUGGAACAAUGGAAAAGUAUCUGAAUCAAGUCCUGAGGGUCAAGUUUGCCGGGGAGCCCAGAGUGAAGCAGCUCCACAGACUCCUCCGCCACAACCUGCCUUUGGAACUGGAGAACCUGAGGUCGCUGCUGGAAUCCACCCCUUCUCCAGUUGUGUUUUGUCAUAACGACUGUCAGGAAGGUAACAUCUUAAUGCUGGAAGGCAGAGAGAAUUCUGAAAAGCAGAAACUGAUGCUCAUCGACUUCGAAUACAGCAGUUAUAAUUACAGGGGAUUUGACAUUGGGAAUCAUUUCUGUGAGUGGAUGUAUGACUAUAACUAUGAAAAGUACCCUUUCUUCAGAGCCAACAUCCUGAAGUACCCCACCAAGAAACAGCAGCUCCACUUUAUUUCCAAUUACUUGGCCGCAUUCCAAAAUGAAUUUGAAAACCUCAGUAAUGAAGAAAAGUGCAUUAUAGAAGAAGAGAUGUUGCUUGAAGUCAAUAGGUUUGCCCUUGCGUCCCAUUUCUUCUGGGGACUCUGGUCCAUCGUACAGGCCAAGAUUUCUUCCAUUGAAUUUGGGUACAUGAGGGCUCCCUGUGCCCCCGCGAGUUGUGAAUGAGGCGACCCGGCACCAGGACAGCAGGCUCAGCCCAGGAAGCUGAGGGUUAAAGGCUGCAUAAUUUAACCCACUCUCACUGGCUCCGCAUCUGCAAAGGACUAUGCCCAGGCAAGGUUCGAUGCCUAUUUCGACCAGAAGAGGAAGCUCGGGGUGUGAGCGUGGGAGGCGCCAGCGGCUUCAUCCCUGGACCGUGCAGGGGCGGCCGAGCCAGAGGGGCCCUCGGUGCUCCGACUGCCGUACCUGCGGCACGAAGGCUCGGAUGUCUCGCUGCCCAACACAGAUGUGUAUGAUACGAAAGACUGUAUUAAAACUGAGUAACAUUUAUUUCA